AAAUAUGGAAAGAUUGGUAUAUUAGUGUUGUUUGAGGGUGAUAACUAAAGGUGAAGGAGAAAAAUUCAGUGCUUAGUUGAAAUCUGUCGCUCACUUAUUCAAGCUGAAAGAAUCAACUACGUGAAUUUACUGUUUAUUUAAAAAGGUGAAAUAUUUAAACAGUUACAAAAAUAGCAACUUACCGUCUGAAGGUUUAGAUUACGUGCCCUGAAAGUCACUGAAAUCAAAUCAGUUGCAGAUCUCUCGUCGACAUUUAUUUUCGACAGAUUGCUGCUAAGAGAAGUUUCAACUAUUAUAAGGUGAGGAAUAGAAUUGAAAACAAGAUAACUAGCCUGAUGUAUAUACACAUAAAUAAAAUUUUAAUUAAUUUGUAAUUACAAAAUAAAACGAGUGGGUGUG
Long non-coding RNA from Aethina tumida (small hive beetle), 399 nucleotides. RefSeq lists it as uncharacterized. NCBI's taxonomy places the organism in Eukaryota, Metazoa, Arthropoda, Insecta, Coleoptera, Nitidulidae. The transcript has 3 exons. The record is from RefSeq and is a predicted model, not a curated record.